UGAUGGAAAAACAAAAUAUAAUUUACAUGUUAAAUGAAAAAUGUGUUUGUUGUAUGAGUGGCAUAGCUGUCUCAGAUCAGUCAAUGAAUGGCUGUGGUAUUGGUGGACAGAAUGAAACAGGGUAUACUGUAUGUGUUACUAUGGCUGUGGUAUUGGUGGACAGAAUGAAACAGGGUAUACUGUAUGUGUUACUAUGGCUGUGGUAUUGGUGGACAGAAUGAAACAGGGCCUACUGCAUGUGUUACUAUGGCUGUGGUUUGGUGGACAGAAAUGAAAGGGCCUACUGCAUGUGUUACUAUGGCUGUGGUAUUGGUGGACAGAAUGAAACAGGGCCUACUGCAUG
This is a non-coding RNA of Salvelinus sp. IW2-2015, 343 nucleotides long. NCBI's taxonomy places the organism in Eukaryota, Metazoa, Chordata, Actinopteri, Salmoniformes, Salmonidae. The record is from RefSeq and is a predicted model, not a curated record.